ACCUGAGCAUCCCCGACAUGUCCGUUGACAUUAUUUGUCUGUCAUGAAGGUCCAAGAUUACUGCUCGCAGACCUUGUCAGUUUAGCAGUCAAAGGUUCAAAGCUUCACAGUAGGCAAGCAGAACCCCCAAGGCUGCCAAGUGAUGGAAUGCAGAAGUCCUGAUUUGCUUGCAUGCGCAACGUGCGACAGGACUAUCAUCGCAAGGCAUGACGGGUUCGCCGUGGGAGCGCUGAUCAUGAGCGUGGAUUUUCAAAAUCCCCCUAGACAAUGCCCAGCGCCUUAGGGGCUGAUGUAGAUGCAAGGCGUUGCAUCCUCAAUUUGGCAUUUCUUGGUUUACCCUUGCUUGGUAUGCGUAGGCAUGCUGUGGUCUUCAUCACACACUAUCCACAACGGGUCUGGUCUGGGUUGACACUACUGCAAUUAGCGGUUUAAGGUCCUGGGUUCGAUUCCUGGGGAGACCCCCGAACUAGUCGGGAGCGCGAGAUUAUGGCUAGCUGCUGAGAUGUGGAGUUGAGGUCACAGUUGAUGGACCAGAUUCGCACGCUGGAUUGGUGGCGAUUGCCGAACCCUCCGUCUCUUCGGGUGUUCGGGUGAAUGGAUGAGGAGGGGUCCCUGAAGGCUGGAUCCGCCGCCUUGGACUUACAGUUCGUAUGGCGAAGACAGUGUGGUAGUGGUGGAUGGUGCUAUAAGGUGAUAAAUGAUCGUAGAACUGACAAUGUGAUAAAGCGGCCCAGAAGCCUCCCACUCUGUAACACAUUACAACGGGUCGGGCCUGAACUAACGGACCGUACGCCUGGAAGUUCCCCCUACACCUGUCUCCGUGCUGGCCAAUACCUCCCCUGUCAAUCGCCACGCCCUGUGCGCAUGCAGUUACCCGUCAGGUACAACAUUCUACACACGUACUGGCUAUCCACAGCAGUCCAGUGCCACGAUGGCCAUUCUCCCUGCGUCGCACGUCAUAACGGCUGUGCCCAACUAGAUGCGGACGUGCGAGGAUUCGCACGAAACUCGGGACUUCUCUUCGCCCGGGAUCAUUACAUUUCCAAAUGCACCCGAAGGUGCUGGCCGCUGCUACUUGCAGCCUAUCGCAUGCGAAGCCAUCAGGCCACGGUUGCCUUUCAAGGCCUCAUGCCAGGUGGAGGGUUUAUUGGCUCGCUCAUGCGCUGGUGGGCUGUGGGUGAGGAACCCUGGGAAAAGGAUCCAUUAAACCACUCCGGUGUGGGGUUACUUACUCCAACCUAUCGACCUACCAGCUAAAUACUACCCUUAGCAUGGCAAACAUCCUCAGGAUGCGCAGGACGACAUACAUACCGCGCGACGCCUGUCCCAGGAUGCCUUUUUCAGUUUUUAAUGCUAAGAACGACACAUCACAGCACAUGCGCAUCAUAAUAUAAUCGGUUUGGUAAAAGGGUUGCACCUAUCAUCUCGCUAUGUUGAUGAAUCCCACAAAUUGGUACCACGUUGACACGCAUAUCAGUACACAGUGCGCUCCAGGGGAGGUCCGUCCCCCUACCGCCCAGCAGCACUCUCAGUGGCCAUAAUUGUACAGACGCUAGGUACAGCAGCCAGAUGUGCAACCAAUACACAACCAUAAAAAUCCCGUUCACACACUUAUGAUGAUGGUGAUCAUCAUCAUCAUCAUCAUCGCGAUAGACGAAAGCAUUGCGUAGCGCAGUGGCAUGUGUAAGGCACCAAUGCUGCACCAAUGAUCCUUUGUUAUGGAUCGUCAUGGGAAACACACACACACACACACAUUCAAAUACACACACAGACCCAUAUUUAGCUUUGGUCGAAUCCCGGCAAUUGAUUCACGUUCGCAGUCUUGCAGUACCACCCACACCGGGAAAUAAUCCCUCUUACAGAGGUGGGCCUCCUGGGAGCAGUUUAUCAACACUCAUGUUUGUCGUAGGAUUCUUAUCGAACUUUUUCUGUCUAUUUCUUUAUACACCUAAACCUUUGUACACCUAAAGCCCAGCUACAGGCAUGGUGAAAUGAUCUGAUAAUCACAACCUCGCAACCCCGUCCAAGAGUUGUCCAACACCAAUUCGGACCCUAAGUUUCUAGUUACCAUCACGAGCUGAUGAGGAUGGCGUUCAUAUCACCAUGAUCACCUCACGCCUGCUGCUGCAAGUAAUGCGGUCGUCUGUACUGCGUGUUCACCUGCUGGAUGCCGUACUGCGGGUGCGAAGCGUACUGUUGCAGCAGCUGCUCUUGUUUCAUGGGAACCUGCAGCGAAAGCCGCCCGUAGCCAGGUAGUUGCGUCUGCUGGCUUGACUGUGGCUGUAGCUGUUCCUGGCCGUACAGACGUUGCUGGAAGUACGGAUCCCUUGCAGCCCCCUGCUGCCCGCUGCUGUAGUACGGCUGCUGUACACCGUAGCCUUGCUGAGCCCUAUGGUAAACCUGCUGCUGCAGCUGUUGAGGAUGUGGUUUCGGUUGUUGCUGUAAAGCAAUACCUUGCUGCUGCACAUUUGAAGCUGAAAAUUGCUGCGGAGGUGAAGUCACGUACUGUGGCUGUAGCUGAAGGACCUGCUGCGCGCCAUACUGCAGUUGCUGUCCUUGGUGCUGUUGAGACAAUAGCUGCUGCUGCUGCUGCUGGCGUUGAAGCUGCGCUUGCAUGGCCGGCUGCACUUGCAUCACCGCUGGGGGCUGCAUCUGCAUCUGCAUUUGCUGCAAAUGCAGCGUCAUCGGCCCAUACUCCCCGUACUGCUGCAACUGCUGCUGCUGAAUGCCGUACAUCUGCAGUUGUAGCUCCCGUACCUGCGGCGGGUACGGCUUGGGCCCCUCUCGUAGUUCGCGCUCCGACGCUUUUUGUAACUGGGAGUACUUAAAGGGGUCAGGCGCUUGCACCUCUCUCUGCCAUUCGUACUGCUGCUCCAGGCCGUACAGUGUCCGGGUGUGCAGUACCUGCGGUUGCGGUACCGUUGCCGACGUCGCGACCGCAGGGUAACGCCAGUUCUGCUGCUGCGCCGCUAGGAGCUGUUGUCGAGCGUACUCUUGUUGCGCCUGCCGAAGCCUCGUCGGUGCGCCAGCGACAGCAACAGAUGGCGGUGGUGGCGUCGUCUCCGGCGCCGACACUUGGUCACCCCGCUGCAUCUGCGACGGAGGCUGAGGAUGCGACCACUGGUACUCUUGCAGCUGUGGACCAGGGGGCGACGGCGGCGGCGGAGCCGCCGCCGCCGCCGCUGCCCCCGCCGCCGCUGAACCUGGUCUCGACUCCGACUCCGACGGCGGUACGGGGGGCGAUGGUGACGAUGAUGACUCGGGCAGGGGUUCCUGAAAGGUCGGCGGCGGCAAAUCAUCCGCAAAGGUGACGUUGCUCCUGGGCCUCCCGGACCGAAGGGAAUCCUUCCCUGGAGCGUUGUCGCCUCCGUCGGUAACGGAGCCGCUGAUAGUGGGUUCCGCCACUGGUGGCGGCGGCGGCGCUGGCGGCAGCUGGAAGCGGCUUCCUGGUAGCUCCGGCAGCGCGUCAGCGUCGGCGCUGGCGGCAGCGGCUCCGUGUGCCGUCGCCGCUGCUGGUACCGCCGCCGCCGCGGCGGCGGCGGCAGGGGCGGCCCCCUCAGCUUUUGCACGCAGCUCCGCCAGGCGGCUCCGAGGUACGACAAGGUGAUCACCGUUAGGGUCGUUGGGGUCGCCGAUGAUGCCACGCUCGUACGCGUCCCUGCAGGUGCGACCGUUAGUAGUUGGAAGGCGACCGUUAGUAUUUUGUUGCUGCUGUAGCUUUUUCACGAUGACUAAGGUUGAAGCGCUAAACGGCGGCGGAGUCGGCUGCUUGGCUGUUGGCAGUUGGCAGUUAUCCCUGCUACCCAGGCAGAAGUGGGCCCUUUGCCAUGGCCCUUCUUCCGCCGUCCUUGACCGCCCUUCCCAUUCAUCAUCAUAGUCGCUUGCUUGGCUUCCGCUACCAGCCCGCAGCUUUCACAACAUUUCAUUCAUCCAUGAUCUAAAAACGAGCGCAGAUACAUACAAACCAGACACUAUUGUUUCUGUAAUAUGUUUCAUCGAGUGUACGGCAAUGCAGUCCAUGGAACCUCCUCGGUCCUGAAAUCGCAGGCUGAUACCGGGCAGCCGUACAGCUCACAGGCAACCAUUAGUUUACUAGGUAGUUAGUCCGUUAGCUAGUUAGUUUAGUUCGUUCCGCCCACUCGAGACGAGGGUCGUAGCCAUGUCCUCCGUACUGGGGACGGUCGUGAUUACCUUCGAAUAUUGUUGAGCAUUAUCCUGAGGUACUCGGGUGUGAAGUGGUCGGGGACGUCCCAGCGAGGCCGCGGCCGCUCAGCCUGUGCAGGAAAAGCGGAGGGGUGCAUGGGUGGAUGGAUGGAUGGAUGGAUGGAUGGAUGGGUAAGAGGGAAAGGGACCGAAUGGGGUGGGUGGGAGGUGAGGGAGGCAGGGAAUCAUCAUAUGCAGAAUCGGCUACCGACAUUCAAAGUACCAACUGCAGGGAGAAGAAAGUUGGUAAGGAAAGAAAAGGAAAGAAAAGGAAAGAAAAGGAAAGAAAAGGAAAGGAAAGGAAAGAAAAGGAAAGAAAAGGAAAGAAAAGGAAAGAAAAGGAAAGGCAGGGGAAGGUAUGCGGGCCGGCUGGCAGGGUGGACAGUCGGGGUGGGAGGGAAGAGGGCAGAGGCACUAGGGGGGAAAAGUGGAAGGAGAAGCGGCCAAAAUCAAGGACAGCUAGCGCCUCUCGUUGUUUGGACAAGUCAGUUGAGGACUCCUAAGAAACCACUUUCGGAUAUAAAAAAUUUACUGCCACGUGUACGGCUUGUAUAGCCUGUACGGCGCUCCCUUGUUACCUGUUUGCGGUCGCGGGCCAUGAGCUCCAGGGGAGUUUUGUGGCCGAUCUCAAGUGCCACGUCAGGAUGGCUGCUGUCGUACGCCAGGAGCAGCACGGGAGCCCAGGAGGCGAAGCUACAUAUCGCGGCGAUAUGGAAUUGCGGGUUCCAAGCCACCUGCGUGAGCACGGCACAUGACACAGAAACAGACAGUUGUGACCCCCUCCUUGCGGUUUCAGCUCAGUCAAGCCACGUGCAUUGUCGAGGCAAAAGCGCACAGCCAAACACCCCCUACAGAUCCUGCCCCUCUAAGCGCCAUGCAUCCCCUCGUCCCGCGGAAGCCCCUCCUCCUCCCAGUCGAUCAUGAACCACUACCCCCCGGACCCCAACACAUACAUACAUACAUACGCACACCUGGUACACCGUGUCUCCCCCCAGGCUGAAGUGCGGUAGCGAUGUGGGCGGGCCCCCGUCCGCGUCCCAAAUAAACACUCGGCCGUCCUCACUGCCGCAGAUCAGGAAGCGCCCGUCUGACGGAACCACCAAAAGGGGUUUCGGAGAGAGGGACGAGUAGGCCGGAACUCAAGGCGGUGAAAAUGUGCCCUUUUUUACACAUCGAAUUUUUGUGUAAAUCUCCGUUGAUUUUACAGGAAAAAUCUUAUUCCUAAAAAAAACCCUCUUUGUGGUUGGUUAGCAACAUAUCGUGGACGGGUCUGUGGAAAGGAAAGUCUUUGGACUCGGGACAUAAAGGUUGCGGGAGGGAGGGAUAGAUGGAUGGAGGGGUGCGGGAUGAAAAAAACAUGUGACGGAAAAAUUAUGUAAUGGAGCGGGGGGGCUCCCUCCACACGGACCCAACCUCCACAGCCGACCAGCCCAUAUAUAUGCAUACCGCCCAUAUAAAAGCUCCAAUCACGCCCCGGUUCACAAGGACUUAUGGGUUGAAGUGUGGGUAUGUAUGCUAAUGGGGCGCGGCCUCAUAACCCCAUAAGCCCCACCUGGGCUGAAAGCGGCCUUCAGAGGCGCCUCUCUGCACCUCAGUCCCAGAAACUGCUCCGCCCUGCUCAGACUGCGAGUCUCCACUACCAGCAGACGAGAGCGCUUGGUCAGCAGAGCCAGUCGCCGACCGUCGUGGUGCGGGAUCACGGCAGCCAGGGGCUCUCCGUCGAAUUCGUCACACCUAGGAGGCGCGGGAGGAGGGGGGGGAGGCGCGUUGGGUUUGCGGGUUGGGGAGGUGGAGGUGAGAGGAGGGGAUGGAGGUGGGAAGGUGAGAGGACGGCCGAGUAGCGUGUCAGUUGUUAGUUAUUAGUUGGAUGGGUGAUGUUGGAUGGAAGCAAAAGAAGAGAGAGACAGCGACGAGACAACUGGACAAGUGAGACACUUAAGUGUGUAGUACAACUGUACGACUGACCGCCUGCACAUUGCCAAGGAUGGCUGGACAUGGACAAAACCAUGCACACAUCUGCACUACGGCUACGGCUGUGUGUAGCUAGCUGCUUUAGCGCUGCCAUCCCUCACUCACUUCCGCAACACGCGGAGGAUGUUGGCUGCCGCCGCCGCGGCGGCGGCGGCGGCGGCCUCAGCAUUCACGCCUCCGCCGCCACCGCUGGGUGCUGCGGACCCCUGUGUUGCAUUCAAGCCGUCGCCGCCAUCACCUCCGUUGCCGCCGCCGCCACCGUCACCGCCACCGGUGCCAGGGGAUCGCCGAAUGGAGGCACUAAAGUUGAAGUUGGAGCGCGGCAACAUGGAGGCAUUCAGGUUGACAGGGUUGCUUCCACCACCGCCGCCAGCCGCUGACCGCUGGGUGCCACUAAGGCGCUUGCGAGCGUUACUACUCAUGAGGGUGGCAUUGAGGACGCUGCCGCUGUUGCCUAUUGUGGCAAGGAGGCAAAAAGUGGACGAACAGAUAGGCAGACCGACACACGGCUGGAUCAGUGGAUUUAGAUGACAGAUCUAUCUUAGGGCUUAAAACCCUAAAACCCUAAGAUCAGACAGACAGACAUACAGACAGACAUGAAGGUGGCAGGACUACAGCUUGAUAGGAAGCACCUUGUGCGCGGUGAUGGGGGUGGUGCUGGUGAUGGGGGUGGGGGUGGGGGUGGAGAUGGAGGAGUUAAUGGUGCUGGUGGUGGUGGAAAUUGGCAGCGGUGAUAGUAGUAGUGACAUGACGUGGCGUUUUUCCAAUGUUUGAUGACCACCCUGGACUUCCCGGGUUCCCCCCUGGACUUCCUCCUUCCCUAACAACGCAUACUUUAGCAAGACAUGCAACCCAUACGACACAUGUUGCUUGCUUUUCACUGAACCAACACAACCUAAUUGCAGGUAUCUCCUUGUUAUGUACAUGUUCGCAACACACACAUGAACGCGCGCGCGCGUGUGUUCAUGUGUGUGUGUAUGUGUAUGUUCAUAACGCUUUGCCUUCCCCCACCAAAUCAUUAAUCAACCUAUUAUGGCCGCUGUCAAGGUCACCAUCAACGUCGCCAUCGCGAUCAGAUGAUACAUAUCCCCAUGCCCUCCCAUUUUCCUGUCAUGAUGUCCGCCGCCCUGCUACCCACCCUGGGUGGUGGAGAUGGUAGAUAUCUUCAGGUUGGUACCCCCCGGCGCGGCGGCAACAGCAUCCACCCCCUUGCUGACAUCACAACUGAACUCCUGCGCGACAGUGCGGCGACAGUGACAGCGGCAGUGACAUACAUACAUAUACAUACAGACAUAGGAAGGUAAGGAAGGAGCGUGGAGCACAUGCACAAGGGAUGGCGUAUGCUGAGAAAGCACCUCUUUAAGAAAAUGUGCACCGCUACCACCUCUGAGGGCACCUGAGCGUUUUGUGUGACAAGUCGGCCAGAGACGAGGCUUUCAGGCCGGGGAAGGGUCUUACUGUUGGAUCUUGGCCUAGGCCUGGGCCUGGAGAAGGGCUGUAAGGGGUGGGGCCUCCUACUCUCCCAUGCACCUCAGCCAGUGGGCGCACACCACAUCCUUCCGGCAGUGCACUCAUCUGCAGUGCACUCAUACGCGUGUUGUAUGGGGCCUCAAUCAGUUUCGCCUUUAGUCUUCCUUCCCUGGCCUAGACCUCGCAGAUUGUUCCUUGCCUCUCCCCCAGCACAUAAACUCCUCCGUCCCCGCCUGCCUGCCACCACAAAGGCCCCGACCCCAACCCGCACCUGCAACACGCCGGCGCUGUCGCCCGCAUAUAAUCGAGUGCCCAGCUUGUCGAAACACAAACUGUUGAUGCAACCGUUCUGGGUCUGUGCGGCGCGUGUGGGACAUAUUGUAGGCGGCAGGGAUACAGUCCGGAACAUGUAAGUCUGUCUGUCUGUCUGUCUGUGUCAAAAUGAUCUGAACCGCGAUGAGGAAAAUGGUGGUACACGAAUAACUUUACCGAAGCGAGCUCUUGGCUGUGUGCGUGCUUCUUGCGUUUUUUUUACGAAUUUGGAGAAGAAGCCUUGUUGUUGUGCAGGUGCGAGUCUGUGGGCGUGUAUGUAUGUACGUAUGCAUGUUUGCAUGUAUGUAGAUAUGUAUACUUCUGACUGCAAGGUGUCUGGACAUGUGCAGCUGAAGAGUCAACAGGACAAUGUUGAAAACGUUUCAGGAGGUGGAUGGAGAACAUAGAAAAAGGUGCGAUUCACGCUUCGAUGUGUAAUAACGCCAAUAUUUACGACAACAUAGGGGAAUGUUAUCCCCUAAAGGGGAUGAACUAAAGUUCCCAGUGUGCAUACGUACGCAUGUAUGUAUGUAUGUUGGGACGUCUCUGACAUGUGGCGUGGCAACGCACGUGUCCCGCAUCAUUGACUGGAAACUGAUCCUCUCAAAACUCCAGGGACAGGAGGAGCCUUUAAGAAUCUGUCACGGCGCAAAAAAUGUUGUAAACAAUCUCACGACGUUUACCUUGACAGCUGCAAGCAGCUCGCCUGUAUAUCGCCGCCACAGCCGUACGGUCCCGUCGUACGCGCCCGUGGCCACAAGCGCGCUUCCGAGCUUCUGUACGGGAUGGAACUGUGCCGUAUAGACAUAGCAUGCGUGGGAGAGUACGGUGGGGUGCGGCAGAGUGGCGGUGGGCCCGGCUCUAGACCCGGAAAGGGCCGCUGCGGCUGGUAUAAUCCCUGUGUUGGCGGCAGCUGCGGCGGCGGCGCCGCCGCCGCGGCGCUUUGACACGUUAAGGCUAGCGUUGAGGUUCCCUAUCGGAGGCGUCGGCGGUGGCGUCAGCGGUGACGGCGUCGCCGCCGCCGCCGACCCUGGUCUCAUCGUCGCCAGCAAGUUCAUGGCAGGUGCAGCCGCCGCCGCUGCGGCGGCGGCGUCGGAGACGCUGGUGCCGGCCGCCUGACCUCCGCCGCCGCCACUGCCGCCGGCAGCGGCAGCCGCCGCUGCUGCCGUGGCAGCCGCCAUGGCUGCUGCAGCGGCGGCGGGGUUGAACUCCCAGACCUUUGCCGUACCGUCGGCGGAGGCGGUUAUAAUCGCCGAGUCGUCACGCGCCCAGGCUACUUCAUACACAAACCCGUUAUGGGCGCAGUGGAUGGUACGUUUGACUGCCCCUGGUGGAGGUCAUCGGAUCGUGUGUGAGAGAUCAAUCACAUCAAGGGUAUAACCAUCGGUCAAGCAACGAUAUAAGGGAGAGAUUCGUAUAAGACGUACGACACCAAUCCUACAGAAGAUAACUUCCGUACUGUCUUGAAAACAAUAUCCACCAGUCAAGGGUCUGCAUGGCCCACGAUCACCGCCGAUUGACACAGCAGCCUGUUGCGUCUCGCCUAAAUGUGCAAGAUGAUUUGCUACUGCUACUGCUACUGCUACUGCUACUGCUACUGCUACUGCUACUGCUACUGCUACUGCUAGCUUCUUUUCCACACCUUAAUUAAAAACACAAGCCUCCAAAACUUACUCGCUACUCCCAAGAGAAAAGGACUUAAAAUAGUCCUAAGCAGCUUCCGAAGGAUAGCCCCAAAGAGUUCUAAACACACACAUACACGCAUACAUACACAUAUACAUAUACAUACGCACACGCACCCCAGCUCACCGGUCAGCGCGCUGUAGAUGACAAUCCUGGCUCGGUCGUCUGCUUCGCUAGCCACCACCGCCAGGAAAGAGCCCCCGUGGCUGAAGGCCAGACACGUCACCCCUUGGGGCCCGCCGGGCAGCUGUCGCAGAGGCACGUUGGGAACCUGGACAGAAACACCACCACCAUGAGCGGAGGGAGCCAGGACCAUAAAUAUGACCAUAAUUAGGACCAUAAUAAGGACCAUAAUUAGGACCAUAAUUAGGACCAUAAUUAGGACCAUAAUAAGGACCAAGAUUAGCAUCGCGGCCCGAGGUCUGGGGUAGAAGGUAGCGGGUAGGGGAGCCCCGGGGGUUUGGGGUUUGACAUGCCGGGUUACAAACCCGGGAACGGAUGAUGGAUGGUUUCGGGGCUCCGGACUCCACAUCAGCAGACGGCGCUGCGAUGAGUGUUGGAUGUUGCAAAAUGUUGGGUACAUGGUGGGUGCGCUGAAUCCUGACGCGCUGCCGACCACCUGCCGUACCGUGCCGUACCUUGCAGGGCUCUGUGACUGGGCGGUAGAGCUUGUGCUUGGUGAUGUCCUCCGCUGCCUCUCCUAGCAGCGCGGUGCCGUCACCAGCCGCACCUCCCAAGUAAGCGGAUAGGGGCACCUUGCCUGUAUGAUACGGGUUGUUGUUCUUGUUAUGUGUAAUGGUACGAGUAGUGGUACGAGUAGCGGUACGAGUAGCGGUAUGUGUAAUGGUACGAGUAGUGGUAUGAUGAGGAGUUGAGUGAGGGAGGAGGCGGAGGGGAAAAGGGAAGGGGAAGGCGGUUUAAGGAAUGAUCAAGGGUACUGGGGGGAUAUCCAGGGUUGUGGUGGGGGGGAGGGGCCGAGGGGGGGAAGUCGCCAGAUGGCGACGUAACACAUUCCCGCCCCGCAAUCCACACUCCUCUGAUAUCCUGAAGGAUGCAGCUCUCAGUCGAUGGCCGAUUCCCCUUGCAUCUUGUUCUUUUAAAAUUUGACACCAACUAUUAUAGUCAUCUUUAACUAUUUCUCUUUAUUGUAAGUUAGGAUCCAGCACUCAACAGCUAGUCUUGUGGAAGAGGGUUAUCCAGCCUUCAAAGGGACCGCACUCGGACGCCGUGGCGCGUUUUGUUUUAAUUGCCCUUAGUUUUUUAUUUACUUCUGGCGGGUCAGGAAGGUACGAAUGUACUGCCGGAUGACGUAACACAGGAGCACCGGAACGGUGCACCUCACAGACACAGACCACAUCAGACUCAAGACGCACAAAUACCGCAUCAAGAGCGUACGGCAACACUUACCGGUUUCGAAGCCACUGCCGUACCCGGCUGGAAGGUACGGCCGGAUAUUCUUGGCGGGCUCCGUGAUCACCACCUCGGGCUCCGGACGGCGUACGGCCUGUACGUGUGUACGACACGCGGCGUGUACUAUGUGUAUACGGGCAGUGCAUGGCUGCACGCGUACCCUGCGUAUAUUAUCAUAUAUAUAUAUAUAUAUAUAUGCACCUGCUUGUCUGUUGUCUUACCCUCUCUUACCCCUCUCCUUCACACUUUUCCACAGUCUCCCUCAGGCUUUCACGCACACCCUCCGCACUUGUACGGAACACACUUGUAACUUGUAACUUUUAUCUCCUCUUUCCCUUUCCCCUUCCCUUCCCAUCCCCCUCGAAAACCCCUAGGCCCGCCUUACCUGCAACACGACCGUCAAGGCACUGGGGUACUUGGGCACCACCGCCGCUCCCCCUUCCGCCAUCAGAGCCUGCCAGUUCACAUACGCCCGGCUGGCGGCAUUGAGAUGAACGGUCGGACCCGCACCCACCACACCCGCACCCGCAUACCCCGGCGUUGCACCAACGCCUCCGCCGACAUUGUACGGCAGUGCGCCACCUCCUGCUGAAGAUGCUGACGCUUCUGCUGCUUUGCUGCUUGUGCGUACGGCAUCCGAAAUAUCUGUACGGACACCCGUGCGGCAGUCGCGGCGAGUAGGAACGGGGUAAUGGAGGGGUGUCCAGUUCGACGGGUCGUGCCUCGUGCGGUGUGUUUUUCAUCAUGCUGAUACAUGAAAAAAUUCAGCCACCACCGUACAUAACCACGCAUACAGCCACGAAAGCCACACAGACGGCACAGACGGCCACUCACUCACAUUUAAAAUACCUUUUUUGUACUCGUACAAUUGCAGUUUGAGGCGGCCGAGCAGCGGCUGCCGGGGGCCAUCAGGCGUGUCGGGUCGCGGACCCGCGGGUCGCAGAAAGGCCCACGCCACCAAAUGAGAGCCGUCCUCCGAGUCGAAGGCGCGAAUGUGUUUGCGGUAGCGCUGGUAGCUGACGGGAGGUUGCAGCACCUGUCGUACAACGUUGGCGGCAAUUGCGGGUAUGUCUGUAUGUCUGUGUUUCGAAGGGGAGGUACCCGGGGUUCUUCUUGAAAUGCUGGGAGGGUGGUGGGGUUGGGGAAAGACGAACCACGAACGAGUGAAGCUGCCGCCAAGGAAAGAGUGUACCAGGCGGGGGUGGAGGGGAGAGGAGAGAACGGGUCGGGUCGAGGGGCCCCCAGCCCGAGGGCGGUGCAACGUCGGGUCGACCCACCUCAAAGAUGAGCAGGGGGUCUAGCGCCACAACACGCUCCACCGCCUCGUCAAUAAGGAGGGUCUCCUCCCAGGCGGCCAUUGUGCGCGCCUGGUCAGGCAAACACAACAGAAACAACACUUACAUAACAGCAACAGCAUUAACAACAUCAACGAACAUUAACGAACAAUAACGAACAACAACGAACAGCAGCAACAACAACAACAACACUGAGCUUGUAAACGUUUUAAGCGACAAGAGGGUUGUGAGGUAAUCGGCGCAGUGUGGGGAGGAUUGCAGCAAUGUUAAGUAUAGCAACCCAUCGCAGACAACCGAGAUAUCACUUUUACACUGGAAAAAGCCGUACAUUGACGUACCGUUACGGCACUUUACGUACCUCCGGGCGCGCGAGCAGGUCAAAAGGCUCCGUCUGUAUGGGCGGUAUGACUUUGAGGGUGGAGGGAGCGGGAUGGUCCGAGUUGUUGCGGACUGUCAUCUGGCUGGGGCGGCCCGCGUACUCCAAGAUCUGGAUCCAGGAUCCACGUUAUGCAGAAUCCAAAAACCGCGAAAUCCAACAAAUGAUUUCAGAUCCAAGACGCCGACGAAUCCACAAUGUAAGACGAUUUCAUGGCAAGGUGCACGUACGUACAGCCGAAAGGGUUUUGUCGUGAGGAAAGGCGGAUGUGUUUCAGGAAACGGCAACACCUUCGGCGCAUCGUUAUGUCAAGGCAAAGCAUGGUGUACAGUACGCCGCCUGCGGCUGAUGAAGAGAUUGUGGAGGAGGUGAGGUUGUGGAGGAGGUUGUGGAGGAGGUUGUGGAGGAGGUUGAGGGGGAGGUUGAGGGGGAGGUUGAGGGGGAGGUUGUGGAGGAGGUUGUGGAGGAGGUUGUGGAGGAGGUUGUGGAGGAGGUUGUGGAGGAGGUUGAGGGGGAGGUUGUGGAGGAGGUUGUGGAGGAGGUUGUGGAGGAGGUUGUGGAGGAGGUUGUGGAGGAGGUUGUGGAGGAGGUUGUGGAGGAGGUUGAGGGGUGAGGUUGAGGGGUGAGGUUGAGGGGUGAGGAGGAGGGUGUGGGUGAGGAGAAGGGGGAGGAAAGUAACUGAGGAUAAGGCAGCAACUACUUCGCCAUGAGAUAGGGACCCGGACAACUAAAGUCGGUUGUACGCGGCGGCAACUCUUCUUCUUAGCCACUACUCCGCCGCGACAUCCUCAUAUACUUAUAGUGCAACCAAGGUUCGGGUUUUACAGGAAAAAACCUCCCAACUCCAAAAAGCGUUAAGUAUCCUACCCGUGACGCCUUGGCUCCGUCUAGCGGUUCCGGUGUGGGAUCCUCCAGGGAGGCCAAGUACUGCCCCGUGUUGGCGUCCAGACAGUGCACUCGUACGACAGGAUUCGUCAACAGCGGGUCGAGACGGAGGGCCUUAUGGCACAGCAGAAGGCGCAGGGAAGGCGGGGGAAAGCACAAAGGGCAAGGGGGAAAGGAGCAUCAUAGCGCGGGGAAGAGUCGGGUUAAUUAGUUAGUUAGUUAGUUAAUUGACUGUCUGGGUCAGCUAAAAUCGUACCAACUGUCUCCACGUACGCGAUAAUCUGCAUCCGGGGGUGAGGUAACCCACCUCAGAUCUUGCGAUGGUGACCGCCAGUACGUUAGGAGGCGUGGGCUUUGUGUAUAGCGGACCGCAGAUGGGGGUUUCCAGCGGGGCCAUGUGGAAGGGCAGUGGGGGACCCUGCUCUGCCGUACCCUCCUCCGCUGCACCUGCCGCCGCUGCGGCGGCGGCGGCGUAACUGCCAGACGCUGCUGCUGCUGCUGCUGCUGCUGCAGCGGCGGCGGCGCUUUGAGUGGUGGGACGGCCGUCGUGUACGCCCGUGGCGGGAGCGGGUUCUCCACCAGCCCCUAGAGCUGCCAGGAGGUUAUGGUCGCAGCACACACCCCGAGGUGGGGAAGCGGGUCAGCGGUGCAGCCCGAGCUGUAUAUCGCCGUUCGGGUCGGUUCAUUCCAAGAUGCGGUUUGGAUUUUCAUCAGCUUUCCAAUUACGACAAUCUGGCAGUAGUGGCCGUGAUCACGGCAGCUUUAUAUUUCUAAUGUUUAUGCUUUACCUUAUGCCCUCCAUCUGAUUUAUUCUGCUCUAAAACCACACCUCCUGAAAUUGCGACAAACAAACUUAAAAAAGCCCUUAUCGAUGAAAAUAUUUUAAGGUCAAGAACAUUCCGCACUGGAUGUCAUAUAGCACAAAUGAUUUUAUACAUUUUAUCAUAGCUCAAUGGCUUUAGUUGUGGUUUACGGCCCCACGCCAAAGUCAAGGCUAUGGCCACGACCAACAACAAGAACGCGAGGCCGAAAGUGUAACGACGCAAGGCCCAACUGAGCAUCCCGGGUUACGCCUUUGCUUUGUUACAAUGGUAUCGAGACGGGGCCGCACGACUUCCGAUGAAAUCUUCGGGUCGGUGGUUCGAUUCUGACAACAAGCAGGUAUCGCAGAAAGCGAUAUCAUGGGUAAUGGAUAAACCAGCGCACAAUGCGUGAGGUGGGAUGGCUCCAAUGCUCGAUAUAAUGGCCGCGGACGUCCAUUGCUAAAGGGGGGGCAAUGUAACGACGCAAGGCCCAACUGAGCAUCCCGGGUUACGCCUUUGCUUUGUUACAGAAAGCCUUCGCACGAAGCCUCUGCACAAAGCUUUUGCAAAGUACUUUGUACGGCACAGCACGGCGGAGUCGACAAGCGGUGGGGUCAUGCCACGUCGCAUCUCUUAGGCGAGCAAACAGACAGACAGACAGACAGACAGACAGACAAACAGACAGACAGACAGACAGACAGACAGACAGACAGACAGACAGACAGACAGACAGACAGACAGACAGACAGACAGACAAACAGACAGAUAGGCAGCUGCACAGAUGCAGGAAGUGGCACUGUAAAGUUACAUCUCGGCGCCUCGGUGCCCGCCUACCAAGCAAGCUGAUUACCACCUGGUUUAAUAGCCCCCUCACCUCCUGCUUCGCCGACGCCUCCUCCAUCCCCCCUCUCAACGGUAGCCGCCCGAGAUGGUGGCAGCGCAGCGGCGGUAGCGACAUCAACAGCCGUGCUGGUUCUCUGUGCACCAGCCGCGACCGCCGCGGCCGCCGCCGCUGGUACGGGCGCUGGGCCCAGCACGUUGCCCGACGUCAUAGCCGCCGCCGCCGCUGCGUGGCGUCGGCGUGUACGGCGCAUGCUAGCAUUCAGAGUGAGAGACAAGUCGGAUCCGCCGCCGUCGGAGGCCGCAGCGGAUGGAGGGGUGGUGGGCCCGGCUGGAGUGGCCGCCGCAAUUAGGGUUGCUUGACUGCUGCGUGCGUCGCGACCGCUACCAAGGCGAGACGGCGGCAGGGAGAAUGCCAGCGGCGUUUCAGCGGAGGCUUCAGAAGGAGAGGCUCCUGAUGUUAGCGCUGGGUCUAGCGGGGUUCUUCCACGUGUGUUAGGAGGUGGCGAUGGCGAGCUGGCUGCGGGUCGGUCUUCGUCUCUAAGCCCAGUCUCGAACGAUACAUGACGAGUGCCUUUGAAAUUAAGAAGACGUUUGGAUAAUGAUUAGUAUGGUACUUUGAUGAAGGAUAUCUUCGUCGCCAUUCCUGAGUUGGGUCGAUGCAUGCCGAAUUACCUUGGUCAUUCCCUUGGGAGCGGCCCUGAGCUCCUGAGUCUGAGUUACCAUCAUCAGAGACAUUCCAAGCAGCCAUUUCCUUCUGGAGACCGAACCGUGCUGACGGAGGUGGUAGGUCGUCAGGCCUCAUUUUUAAGUAGGAUAGUUGUUAGUGCAUUAUAAUAUUAAAAGACAUAUUAGUAUGCUCAUGAUGAGCGUUCAAUGGGUUUGGAAGGUUUUGGGUCUAGCACAGCUACUAAAAGGUCCCUCCCAAUGAACCCAUACCUGCAAUUGAAACCUUUUAAAAGUUAUACUAUGACUAAAUUGGCACUUAGGUUUUAAUUCUUUGAGGAGCUUUGCGUAUGCGUUAAAACUGGUACGGCUUUUGACGAAGGGAAAAUCCAGCCAGCUAACCGCGUAUACAAUUGGAUUGAAGCCGCGCGCGAUUCUAUCAGUUUGGAUAGCUCUGUGUCAUGCACGCGUAUAUUUAGGCUAACCUUGGCCCAGACAGUUGUGUCCAAAAUUGCCGGCCGGAAUCAGCCGCAACGUACCGUUUCCGUGCCAAGAUUAAGCCAUGCUACUUAUGCUCAUUAAAAGGUCAUGCAUAUCCUAACCACCGGGAUUCAUUGGAUAGACCUGGGACUCAGUCUAUCGAAUAUCGGCACGACUCCGAACGUACAUACAGAAACACACAUGGACGCACCCAAGGUCAUCACGUGAGGUAAAGCCGCUCGCCUAGAUGAGGAAACCGUCGGUAAUGUGGUUUUCGCGACGUCCAGGGAAGUGCCCGGGCUUUGUGAAGGACGCCCCAAGACGAAAAGGCGCCGGUGUCCAUAACAAUCCGCACAACAAUCCACGGACCCCGCCUAAGGAUGCGCUCAUGUCACAAAGAUACAUCGCAACAACCUGGCUCCCCACUGAUGCCCCCGUCGGUAGGCCCUUCCUGACGGGCAGUUGUCCUGUUGCUUUUACUCAAUACCCCGUACUAAGAAACAUCAGGAUUGCCCGCGGGGCCCCCUCGCGAUCACGUCACACACAGAGCUUCUUGGUAAGAAGCCGAACGUGCAAUGCUUCUAACGGCGAACGCUGGCGCCCUGAUCACCCUUGUGUACCAGGUGCGACUUCGGUGUGUUUUGCUUUGUUUCAUGUUGCUAACCCGUGGAUUCAGAUAAUACUGGGCUGUGUUUCCAAAAACUUCGUUGUGCGCAUGUGUGCAACGUGCUCCAGGCCGAAAAACUCAGGGAGUCGCAGGCGUCAGAUUCAGACAUCGGCAAACGCUUCGGGCACUUCGGGUCGAACCGAAACUUCCGAAAACAGAAAUAGAGUUCCAGAAGCCGACCCUCUUGCAGAAAUAGGACCAUCCGCCGCUGUAUACGGAAGCUCCUCUGCGGCUCGAAGGGCCGCCCGACGGCCGGAGCCGGAAGUCCAUGAAAUGGACCCGUUCCUGAAUGCAGAAGUAUUCCUUUUGCCGAUGUCUGGUCGGAUUCUCGGACGUAGAGGGAUUGGCGGUUGCAGUUGUUUCCGUUGCUACCCGCCGAAAUGCUCCGGCCGCUUCGAGUGACGGCUUACGCGUAAGGCCUAUGCCCGGGCAAUGCCCACAUUACCAGUUUUGUGAAAUUAACAUCUUUACAUUGAUAUUUGUCUGGAAACCACGUAGGGGCCGUCUGCUGAGACUUGUUUACGGCGCUUACGGUGUUGAUGGUGCUUGGGUACAAAGUGUUGGCUAAUGCGCCUGACUUCCGCCUUUAUAAAAAUAGGCAUAUACGACUCACCGUUCUACGUAUUUUUUGAAGGUUCUGAUGAUGAUGCUGCAUGUGGCCACAAGACCGCCCUGCCCCGUACGGAAUUGGUUUUCUUGAAACAGCUUAGUUACAAUCUGGCCCAACAAACCCGUCAUCGAUUAGGAUGGAAUUGGACUCAUGCACUGAUAGCUUGGGAACAAAGAACGAAAGAAGGGACGACAUGGCUACGUAGGCCAGGCUUGUCUCAGUUAUCUGGUCCGAAAGGAUUGACUGAAGUUUAUCUAUCUUCUUAGCUCUAGAACAUGAGCGAAGAACGUCAAGAGAUGGAUUCAUUGCAGGCCGCGGAGCAGGGCGCGGAAGAUGCUCCCAGUCGUUGGCAAGAACCAGUUCCAGAAGAAUGGAAGAAAGCUCGCGCAGCAAAAGCGGAUGAAUGGUUUCAGCAACGAAAGGAAGAGUUGCACAGGUAGGAUGAACGGCGGGAUGCCAUCCGGUCAACCCUGCGCAUGGAAGGGGGUGAGCUUGCUGUCAUAAGUACCAAAAGCCUGGCUUGCUUAUCACACGUCUAUAUGGGAGAAUAAUGAAUCCCCAUCUUGCGUUCCGAUGGAUUAUGACUCGUUCGACAUUUAGAAGGAUUUCCUGGUAGAAGCGGUUCUCCCAUUACUGUAAUUGGACUCGUUGGGUUUGUCUGCACCUUGAGACGACAGCUUUCCGCUACCCCAUGCAACAUGAAACCUGCACAAGCACACGAUCGCCCAAAGUGUCGAAGUGCUGCUGCACGGAUAGGAAUAUCCAAACAUAUCCAUCGCGCCCUGGCCUCUGGACCUGCCACACGGACUUGUCCUUUAAACAGUCGGUUCGAGCAGCAUCCUGUACGCAGCCUACUUGGUCGUAUGUGGCGAGGCGCCCCCCCACCCCAUCCUUCUCCACAUAACCCCAACCACCACCACCCACACAUACAGGCAAUACCAUGGAGCUAAACAGGCAGUCAUAGACGCCGCUGCACGCGAGGCCGCAGAGGCAGAGGCGCAAGCGGCUUUCGAUGGGGCUGUCCAGGUGCGUGUGAGGCGCGACGGUGGGAUCGUGGUGUGAAUGAGGUGUGUCAAACCCCCACAAAAACCAUAUGAAAUUAUGGAUUGUUUGGGGGAUUGGAUCUGGGCUAGGAAGUCAAUCCUGCACCUACUAAUCCUAAUGGGGAUGGCAGGCGAGUCUGGGGAAGAGAGUACAUUCGUCAGGCCCCACCCAUCGGCCCCACCCACCUGCUGUGCCCCAAGUUCUCUGGCCCGUGGCCCUGCAGCUGCCGUAACCCCGCAUCCCGAAACCCUCCCACAGGCUAUGGUCCAGGAGCAGUCAGCGUACAGGUGGGGCAGCGGGUUGACGGUGCGGGCAGGCAGUUAGGCGAGCAGGGGUAGUGGAUUAGACUGGCGUGUGCGACCAACCGAGAUGGUGGUGGUGGUAGUAGUAGUAGUAGUAGCGGUGUUGUCAUUGCAGUGGGGACAGAGAGUUGCUGGUCCAUGUACGAUUACGUACGUACUGGCCUCAAGCCCAUGGUGGGGACAGUCACGUCGUGUCGGGUUGCGUCGUGCGCUGUGGUGGAUGGGAUCAUUGUAACUUUGUGGCCGUGAAGCCGGUGUUUGCGGGGAACAACACCCCGCAGCAAGACGCACCGCAUUGAGUACUGUGGUGCGCCGGGGGACUCCAGGAUGGGCGUUUGCUGUUGUGUACACCGGUACGCGUGUCCAAAACUCUUUCUGCGCCUUUUUUCCUCCCCGCUCUCUUCAUCCCGCAGUCGCUCUGCGCAGCAGCAGCUGGCGGCUCUGCGGCAGCAGCGGCUAAGUGCUAAUCUGGAGUACGAGGUAGGGGGCUGGGCAGGCAGGACGGGGUGGGGCGGAGCGGGACCGGGGCGGACGGCGGGAACCGGUUAGGGCGGGGGGCCCUGGGCCGGGGAGCUGAAGCUGGAACCAGCAACCGGCUGACCCUCAUGUGAGUACACCUCAUCGUUGUCAUCAUCACCGUCAGCAUCACCCAAAAAUCCGAAUAGCCAACAGCAGCAACAUUAAUAACAAUAAGAACAUCGUCUUGGGUUCGCGUGUUAGGGGGCGUACAUCUGAAUCCAAUCCAAUCGAACGAACGCAACCUCGACCAACUUGACGCAGGCGCUCCGCCUGCCGCACUUUACCCCGCCGCGGCUCCUGGCCCUGAUCACCGCGUUUGAGGGGGGCCCUACCUUUGUGGAGCGCCUCUUCAACAGGGCCCUGGCGACCACCCUUAUGACGGCGGUGGCCACGGCAGCGGCGCCGCAGUCACCGGCGGCGGCAGCAGACCACGGUGACGGCAGCGGCGGUGGCGCCGCCGCAGCCGCUGCCGCUGGCGAGGCGGUCUGGUGCGAGAUGGGACAAAGCCGCGUGAGCAUGCAAGACCCUCCGCUGGCCAGGUACGGCAAGCAGCGUUGUUUCAUUCGUUUUAACAUACAGCUGAAAACGUUGGAUUUCCGAGUUCGAUUCCUCGCCUUUUCAGAAAGCGCCAUUGAAAAAAGAGCUCAAGGAAAAAAUGCAGACUACCUAGAACGCCAGCCCACAUCUGUGUGUUUGUUUUGCCUCCUCAGGGCUGAAGCUCUGGAGCGCUGCCGGCUGGCUAUUGUGGUGCUCUCUCCAGCACUGCUGGCUAGCCCCCAGUGGGCGCUGGAGCGCCGCAUCCUGACGGCUCGCUUGACGGCGCCGCCAGGCACAUGGCCAGGUGCACCGCUGUCCGCCGUACUCAUCGUACGGCUGCACGUGCCACCGCCGGCGUCUGUCGGUGAAGCCGCUGCCGCGGCGGUCGCGGGCAUGGGCCGUAAGGCUGCUGCAGCGGUGGCAGCCUCGACGGCAGCCGCGGCAGCGCCCGAUCCCAACCCGCCGCCACCUUUGGUAUUGCCGGAUCCAGUUCCCGGUUAUCCCGUACAGUCGUACCCAGUACAUGUAAUGGACUUGACAGUGCCGCUGCCGCCGGACCCGCCACCGGAAGGCUCAGCUGCGGGGAUCGCGCUUGCGCAGGUAUUGUGGGGCGCGAGUACGGCGGCACACCACGGUGGACGGCGCCCGUCGGGUAGUUGCUUCCAGGACUCGGGUAGUUGCUUCCAGGACUCGGGUAGUUGCUUCCAGGACUCGGGUAGUUGCUUCCAGGACUCGGGUAGUUGCUUCCAGGACUCGGGUAGUUGCUUCCAGGACUCGGGUAGUUGCUUCCAGGACUCGGGUAGUUGCUUCCAGGACUCGGGUAGUUGCUUCCAGGACUCGGGUAGUUGCUUCCAGGACUCGGGUAGUUGCUUCCAGGACUCGGGUAGUUGCUUCCAGGACUCGGGUAGUUGCUUCCAGGACUCGGGUAGUUGCUUCCAGGACUCGGGUAGUUGCUUCCAGGACUCGGGUAGUUGCUUCCAGGACUCGGGUAGUUGCUUCCAGGACUCGGGUAGUUGCUUCCAGGACUCGGGUAGUUGCUUCCAGGACUCGGGUAGUUGCUUCCAGGACUCGCACACACACCACAUGCACCCACGAGGAUUUGCGACGACCGAUGCCCAAGUGGCCCGGCUUUAUCAUGGGCCAGUAGCCCGGGGUCCUUCCACCCCACAACCUUUGCCUGUCUGCCCUCACUCCAUCCCUCCCAUCCCCAUGCACCGACCCAAUCACCGAUCGCCCCACUCGGGGUCCCCUCAUCCCCCCUCACGCGCCAACGCAGGCGGUGCGGUCUGCAGUGGCGGAUGUGCUGCAAGAGGCCUCUCGUAGUGGCGCCCUGGCGGCGGCAGGGCUGCGGCUCCUGCCCGACCCGCCCCCUGUCUACCUCCACCCCGCUCACAUACAUCAGCAACCAGAGCAGCUGCUCCUGGCGUCAUUAUCCUCGGCCAGCGGUGUGGCCAGCGGCGACGUCGCGGCGGCGAUGCUGGCGUCGAUGUCGUCGCUAACGCUGGGUGCGACGUUGGCGGGCUCCGGCGGCAGCAGUAGCAGCUUGGCGACGCAGAUCCUUGUGUCGCCGGCCAAUGCCGCUGUUGCACCCGGCGCCGCUGCCACGGCGGCGCACAUGCUACCGCCGACACACUCCCUGCGCACGGUGGACGACUGGACGAUGUACGACACCGUGGUACGUGCCAUGGCAUUCCGUAACGCCUCUGCUGCCUCUGUUAUUAUUUUAGCCCAUCAGGCGCUCUGUCCGUCUGUCGGUCUGUCUAUCGUUCUACGUAACACACACGCGGCACACAUUACGAGUGUGUGUGGAGAGCGCUGCUGUGCGACUUAUAUGCCAUCAGUCCACACGUUGGUUUGUUUUCGUACGUUCUGGUCUGGUGUUGUAUUGGGCUGUGGGCUCUUCCACGUCGCCGUCCUGCGGGUCUCCCAUUUGACACCCUAUUUACCCCUUCCCCCCAUUCUAUUACCCCUUCACGGUGUCAGCCUUCUCUUCCCCACCCCCCUUGCUGCCCCUACCCACCCCUGCCCCGGCCUGGCUAACUCUCAGGUCUGGCUAAGUGGCCUGGGACGUUCUCUGGCUCGAUGGUCUGGGGGCUUCCUGGCGCUGGCGGUAGAUGGGCCGCUGCUGGUGGUGGCGGAUGACACCGACCUGCGAGCCGCAUGCGGUGUGGCGGCGGACAAGGCGGUUGCCGUGAUUCGGCAAGCGUUGGAGAGGUGGGCGGGAAGGGGCAAAAAGGAUGAGGGGGAAAAGAGGGAAGGGUCAUGGCCGCAAAGUUUGGCUGUCCAUCCAAAGCAACCUGUUGGCGACUGAUCUCGGAGUUUAUAUGUACCAUGGCAUGCCUGCUGCUGAGCCAGCUCCUCCCAUAUCACCAUGACCGCCACUCCUUUCCCAAGGCCAGCCCGAAGCUACCGCACACAUCCGCCCAGCCCGCAAUAUCCCCUUCUGUAUCCAUCAACCCAACCAAUCACCCAACCAAUCACCCAACCAAUCACCCAACCAAUCACCCAACCAAUCACCCAACCAAUCACCCAACCAAUCACCCAACCAAUCACCCAACCAAUCACCCAACCAAUCACCCAACCAAUCACCCAACCAAUCACCCAACCCAAUCACCCAACCCUAUCACCAACCCAAUCACCAACCCAAUCACCAACCCAAUCACCAACCCUAUCACCAACCCAAUCACCAACCCAAUCACCAACCCAAUCACCAACCCAAUCACCAACCCAAUCACCAACCCAGUUACCAACCCUAUCACCAACCCAAUCACCAACCCAAUCACCAACCCAAUCACCAACCCAAUCACCAACCCAAUCACCAACCCAAUCACCAACCCAGUUACCAACCCUAUCACCAACCCAAUCACCAACCCAAUCACCAACCCAAUCACCAACCCAGUUACCAACCCUAUCACCAACCCAAUCACCAACCCAAUCACCAACCCAAUCACCAGCCCAAUCCAUUUAUCGCACGAUUGUCUCCACGCUCUCUGCACCCUCAGCGCCAAGCGGCGGUCCGUACCACUGCCCCCCUGGCGGGCGCUGCUGCCGCUGCCUGACGCCCCGGCCACUCCGCUGCCCCCCGAGGCCGCCGUCAUGCCGCCACCCCAGCGGGCGGCUCUGCUGGCCGACAUCUUCACUUACUAUGACCAGGUACAUGACAGUGCAGGGGGUUACGGCGUUUAGGAGGGCAUAGCGCAGAGCGUAAUGCAGUGCAGCUCUCUUAGGUAGCACGUAGCAAGGACACGGUCAGGGAUUUCGGUCAGGGAUUUUCAAGGGAGACGUCUGUGCAACGUAAGUAACGCAGGUGCUUAGCGCUGAGCUGGGGUCCCCCGUGUGGGGACAGGUUUGCCUUGUGCGGUAGGGUUCACACACCACAGACCGCACACACGUGACAACCCAACGAAUGAGAGCAAAUCUGAAUGAGAGCAAAUCAGUAGGUACUAGUGACAAGUUUUUGUAUGAUCUUUUACCUACAGAAUAACCCUCCAACGUCCCUAAUCGUCUUAAUACUACGCCGCCCUCCCAUACACUCCUAUCCCACCUCCUCCUCCUCCCUUUCCUGGUAAAACGACUCUCUAUUCGCACCAGUCCAACACCCCACACGCACUCCGACACCCCCUUCCAACAUACAUACAUACACACCCCACACGCCGCUCAGGAUCAUAGUGGCGAUCUGAACCUGGCAGAGCUGGACCGACUGGUUCACGCGUGCGGGCUGAGACUGGGUCCUGUACGGGUGGGUGUGGGUGUGGGGGCGGGUGUGGGGGCGGGUGUGGGGGCGGGUGUGGGGGCGAGUUGGGGAGCUGGUGCAGGUGGCCGGAGUUGGUUAGUUAGUUGGGUCAGUGCAUCACGUGCAACGAUAAAGAAACCACCUGAGUGAGGUUUAGCUGUAGUGUAUUUGGCUGUGUGGUCGGGUUAUGUGUGUUGUGUGUGUUGCCCAUCGCUUUGUGGUGGUGUUAAGACGAAACAUCGCCUGCGCGUCAUCACAACGCAGCAAGAGUGUAGUGGUUGUUUGUGUGUGGACAUGAGCUUUGGGAGCUGCGUGAUAUGGUCCCCGUGGGGCCCAGAUGCUCCGGUAUGUGUGCGGGGGGGAUGCGCGUGCGCGUGGUUUGAAUGGUCGGGGAGUGAGUGAACCUCCCCAGCCCACAUACCGAACUGAACCAAACGCACCUGUCUUUACACGCGACACGCGGGGAGAGGGGACUCGAGAGCUUCUGAAACUGAUGUUUUUUGGCAUUUUGGGGGUGUUGCGAGUGCCAGAAAUUCUUGGAAAUUCUUUUGGCGGCAAAGACGGGGCAUCAAGUGCCAGAGCCAGCACAGGAUGGCGAGGGGAGCUUGCCCGUGGGGAACUGACCCGGUCUUCAAUACCCUCGGGCCGCAACCCUUCCCCCUUCCCCUUCCUUCCUUGGACGCCGGCAGUUCAUCUCCGUUGAGUUCCACCUCGCAUAUGAUUUCACCAUCCCCCCACACACACAUACAUACUCUUUCCUUGGCAGCAGCUUCACUCGUUCGUGGUUCGUCUUUUCCCCCCCCCACAAACAUACACCCCACACGCACCUUGGCUUUGCAUGUCCUUCUCCCACUCCCCCGGCCCACAGCUCAAGGACGUCCUAGACGACUACGAUGACGAUGCGGAUGGGCGACUGAACGCCCGGGAGGCGGAGCGGCUACUGCUGGACGUGUGGAGACUGGUGAUGGCGCAACAGGUUAGCGGUUAGCGUACCAACCAAAUCGGGGGUUAUUGAGGUGGGGCGAAGCAGCUGGAUGCGGAUCAGGUUCUGGAUGCGGAAUUUCCAGAAAAUCUGGAUUUUGGUGGAGUGGAGAUAACCCAUUUACAUAUUGCGUCCCGGUGUGUGUGUGUGUGUGUGUUGCGUGCCGCGCCGCGAUACAGCGCUCCUCACCCUCCUCUCGCGCUGUCGAUGCGAGUAAUGAGCGAUGCUGCCCGCCGUCCCUCCCCUUGUACACUCUUUCCUUGGCCCCCCAUGUACACUCUUUCCGUGGCAGUAGCUUCACUCGUUCGUGGUUCGUCUUUCCCCCCUUGUCCACAUCAUGUGCAGGACGUGGCAGCCUGGACGCCCUCCGAGUCCGCCGCGGCGCUGCGGGUAAGCGACCGAAAAUUACUUAGUUGGUGCAAAACAGCAAGUGCUGUGGUAACGGCGCCCCGGUUCUCUACCGCUGCCUGCAUCAUGUUCAUGGUUCCCAUCCCUACCACCGCACGCCGGCAGUUCAUUUCUGAUUUCCUUGCAUAUGCUUCCCUACCAUCCUACCAUGUGCUCGUGCUGCUUGUCCGUAUGCGGGUGCUGGUGCUGCUGCCGCUAUAUGCUGCAUUAUCUACGACCUGUGGUACUUGAAGUACCCGAUCCAACUCCUUCCUGUCCCUUCCCCCUAAACUAACACAAACACUAGGGUUCCUGAUUCCCACACACAUACGCAUCCGUGUACCCGGAGGUUCUUGUCCGGAACCCGUCCAAACACAACCACCCCACCCUCCCCAGGACGCCAUCGACCUUGAGUGGCCCUUGGAGACACCCCGCGCAACACCCGACGCACAGAAAGCCGCCGCACGCACCGCAGCAGCUCGCGCCGCCGCCGCCGCUGCCGCGGCUGGCAACGGCGGCAGCAGCCGUGCCAGCGUCUCCGCUGGCUCGGAAGCCGCGUCCAUCAACAUCCUCGGCUCGCCGUCGGCUUCGUUCUCCGGCGGCAUCCCCAGGAAGGCCUCCGCUGCAUCGGCGGCAGCGGCGGCGCCGCCGUCACGCUGCAUCAGCAGCCGUAGCCGCGGGGCUGUGAGCCCGAGGUUGGUAGAAGGAGAGGACGAGACGGGCGCCAAAGUACGACUGUUGGAUCAUACGGCAAGUGUAUCGGUGACAGGUGCCGGCGGCGGCGGCAGCAGCACCAGCGACGACGGUGAGGAGAGUGUGGUGUCGUUUACGUGGGGGCUACCGCCGCGGGCUCUGCUGGGCGGCCCGUCUCUGUCCUUGAAGGUGGCGGUGGCGGUCUCAAAGGCACAAACCGACACGGGGAGCAGCGUUGACACGGCGGCGGCUCCGUGGCUGGGCGCCAUCACGCCGCGGGGUAAGAGUAUGCGGGUAUGUGCGUACGUGUGUACUAAUGUGUAAAGAAGGAUGAGCUGAUUUGAGAGAAUAUGUGUGUAAGAUGCGUAUGUCUGUAUAUCUGUAUGUUCCUGGCAGCCGCGCGAGGCAAGCGCACGUGUCUCGGUGGGGGUUCGGCAUACUCCAAGGCACAGAGAACAAGUGGCAACCUAGCAGAUGUGUAGGUAUAAGAGAUGUGAAAAGUAAAAUCUGCAUCCCGUCCCUGAGAAUCUGACCUCCCGUAGGUGUGAGUGUAAGAGAGUGUGUAUGUAUGUCCCGCAGCUAGGGUUUGAGUGCCCUCAGCUACACAGGGUCAGUUGGGGGCUCUGCUUCCCACUCGAUGUGGUGUUGUGCGUGCGUGUGAAUACAUGUGUGGGUCAGGGUGCGUGACUCGAUACCCCGAUCCCCUGGGCCCAUCCCCGCCCAGUUGCCUUCUCACGACCCACCUACUCACCCCGCUUGACUUCCCCGCCCACGCCGCGCUCGCGCCCUUCACACCCAACGAUGAUCUGUUGUCCUGGUCUGAGCCGAUGAGGCCCUCUUUCCAGAAGCCCGUCUCCAUCGUGGGGCGUGGGCGCCUGCUUCCUUUUCCCUACAGCCCCUCGUGCACAUUCGGGCCGUUCGGGUUGCGCCUGGAAGUUCGCUUGUUUGAAAGUCUUUUUCCCUUGAUUUCCUCUUCCUCCACCCCCCAACACCUGCCUAAUCUUGGAGUAUCCGUCUAUCUCUGAUCGGUACCUGCCGUCACUCUUCUGUAGAUCAUCUUAACCCCCGAUCUCUCCCUCCCCCUCACCUCCCCCCGCAAACACCAACCCGUUUCAGUCAAGACUGGUCCGGGCUUGUUGUCGCCGGCGGAGAUGGCGGCUCGGGAUGUGGAUGUGCAGCGGCUGUUGAGGAGGGAGCGGAGCGACGGGGAGCUCAGGGUGGGUUCUGGCUGGCUGCCUGGUGGGCUAGGCGAGUGUGACCCAGAUCACUAAUAUACACCGCAACAACACAGCAGUGCGCAAGUCCACAAAGAUGCCAUACUGAAAGUGGUGAUGAAGACCAUUGAUGAAACGCAAGGGGGAGAGCUCAGGUUAAGAGGGUCCUGGCUGGCUGGCUGCUAUGGGCCCCUAGGGGCUUGGGAGAUGGGGAGAGUGUAAGGAAAUGAGUGUGCGGGGCCGGGCCCUGAUCAGCGCCAUUGGAGGAUGAGGGGCGGUUUCGAGGUCAGGAAAAGGGAGGAAACUGCCUCAUGACUCAGAAUUGGCCUGGCAGCUGAUUAGCGUGUACCAUGUAUGUAUGUAUGUAUGUUGUUACAGGGUGGUGUAGCUUCACCAGCGGCCCCCUUUCCCGAGGCAGUUCCCUGCUCUCCCCUGCUAGAGGGGCACCCUAAUCCAUUCACCCCAUCCGACUUAGAAUGUAUUCGUUGGGUUCAGCAACUCACCCCCAGCAUUCAACCAAAUCUAGCGGAUCAACGGCGCCAUAACUUAGUUCCUGGUCAGCUUAGUUCCUGGUCCAUGUAUGUAUGUAUGUGUGUAUUAGGGAGGGGAAUUAAGGAGAACUGGGAACUGGUUGAUCCCCCGGAGGAGGGAAGCGCGAAGGGGGGUGGGGUGAUCGAGAGAUUGCGAUAGCGGAGAGGAGUUGGACGUGUGCAGGGGGCGGGGUGGGUCAACCCAGAGGGCCGAAAUCGGUGCGGGCAGCUGCUGGAAAUGAGGCUGUUGACCGACCGCCUUCCCCCCAUUCCGUCUGGUAAACAAAUUCACAUCUUACCUGAGCGCUGCUACUGCAACGUCAGUCUCGGUGCCCUCCCUCUUUUGCUCCUGCCUCCACUUCCACUUCCACUUCUCAAUCCGGUGGAUUUCCCCCUUGGCUCUCCGUUCCGUUGGUGCAGGAGUCCCUGUUUCGGUUGUUGGACAGUUUGGAUUUGAAGCGGUUGGGACGUGUGGAUCUACAAUUGUUGAGGUAGGGCUGAGAAGGAUCCGACUGUUAAGGGGGGGAAUAUUGGAAAAGCCCGGGAAUGAAGAGCGUGAUUGUGUAGUGCCCAUUAAAGUUGUCCUCCUUUCGCCACACACACCUCUCGUUGUUGAUUUGUAAUGUGCGGUUAGGUCUCCCGCGCCCUGCCUGGAUUAACCCUGCCUGCACCUCGCCAUUUCCUUUGCCCGUCUUUUUCUCUCCCCCUUGCCAUAAUUUUACUACCUACCCCUUGCCCGGCCAUUGCCCGCAGAGCCUCCCUUGCAGCCACUGGGCCCCUCGCCCAGCUCACCCCACUUCACACCCAGUUGCUGUCAGACCUAGCCGAUUCCCUGUCACAACUGUCAACGGAAAAAACGGCAACGGGCAAGGGCGGCGCCAGUGGUGGGCAUCGGCGAUCUCUGGCCAGUGGGCCGUUGGGUGAAGGGCUUGUGGGGCUGGAGGUGCCCGUACAGCCGUACAUCUCGUCUGCCGUACCAGCAGUGGCAUCGGCGCAGGAGGCCCUGCUGCAGGUGGUGUACGGCGAGCGAGGGCUGUCAGCCAUGCUGCGUCAGCUGUAUAGACAGGUGUGUAUGUAUGCGCGUGUAUGGAUAAGUUUGCACGCAAGUUAGCAUGUAUGUACGUAUGUAUGUGUGCUUAGGUAUACGUGUAUGUAACCCUUGGCGGUUGUGGUACGUUUGGCGAAUUCGUGCUCAGAAACACGGUGUACAUGGUUGCCGGGUCGGCCAGGAUAUAUUGUUUGGGGUUGCCAGUGGUGCAGACGGGGACGGGGACGGGCACCCACGAUAUUGCUCUUCCUGCUGCAAAGCAGGUGAUUGCGGUCCUGCAACUUUUAUGUCAUAAGAGUGACUCUGAUCUACCUCAAUGGUCGUUGUAGAGCCAUUCCGGCACCGAUAGUUUGCCAUAAGGCCCACAUGACCAAUCCCAGCGCAGCAUGGUGUAUAGCACAAUUGCACAGUACAAUCUAUACGCGAUUCCCUUCUUGUGCUCAGCCAUACAUACUUACCUACGCACAUACGCACGCACACACACACGCACGCACGCACGCACGCACGCACACACUGUCCUUCGGCAGUUUGCUGCUCGGACGUCAUUGGCAUUUGAUCCUUCGUAUCUUUCUGCAUCAUCAUCAUCAUCAUGUCAUCAUCAUCAUCAUCAUCAUCAUCAUCAUCGCAUGGUUCCCUCUCCCACUUCGGUUACACUCUUUCCCUGGCAGCAGCUUCACUCGUUCGCGGGGGCUCGUCUUUCCCCCACCACUUCGCCUUCUGUGUGAUUCCUCCCCUCUCCAUAUGAUCCCAGACCACCGGGCCAGAUGAUCCGCUGGAGCUGCUGACCCGGGGACCCCGAGUGCGGCCUGUUGCGGCUGAGGCGGCCCUGGAGGCGCUCUUGGAGGUGCAGGUGGGGGUGAUAUAUGCCCACGUGGACAUAUGCACGUGCAGGUGCACAUGCAGGUGCAAUGGAACAACGGAACAACGGAAGCAGUAGGGGGUUUUCUCCCAAAUCCCGAUCUGGGUUUGCGCUGAUCGGGAAUUGCCAUUUAAACCAGACCGUAGUUGAUGCUUAUUUGAUAUUUUUUGAGAACACCGAAAAAUUGCACCGAUGUCCAAAGCAACCGAGUGGCAGCUGCGCAUAGUUCCGGAGCUUGGCGCCUUAAGUCAUCGACAUGCAGCAGACCCUCCGUUGUAUAAUCGUCGCCCUUGGGUAUAGAUAGAGCGAGAGGGCACGAUGGGAAAGUUGAUGCGUAGGGUUUCAGUGGCGUGUGAGAAAAAGGAAGGAAACCAUAUUACAUGAUAUGCCAAAGUCAAUCAAGGAACAACUGCCGACGCCUGAGGGGUGGUGGUGGACCUCCUUUGGGAGCGCCCUCUCUGAGCUCCCGCUCUGAGCUCGUCUACUGUCCGCCGUACCCACCGCCGCCCGGCCGCAACCUAUUGCCUAGUACCCACCCUGCCUACCAGUCGGUCAGAUUCCCCACUCACUUCCGUCUGUCCAUGCCCACAUGCUCGUUUUCCAACCCAUCCAAUUCUCCGCCCACUCAUGCUGGAGCAUUCCCAGCUGACUCGUCCCAACCCGCCCAACCUUUCCAAGGACCUCUCCCACCAAAUCGAUUCUCAGAUGCCUUCCCAAACCAACUCCGAGCACUUCUUUGACCAAAUUCUGUCCAUGCAGGGAGUCAAGCCCACUGCGCUGCUCCGAGCAGCUCUGCUCCCAGGCCACCAACUACCCACCAAAGAGGAGGAGCUGCUGAUGCUGCAGGCAGGAGGAGGAGGAGGCGGCGGGGGAGGAGGGGGGGAGGAAGAUGAGGCCGCGGCGGCGGCAGCGGCGCGCGGGGACGUGACGCCGCUGAGCCUCCACUCCGCUCGGCGUUACCCGCAGUCCUGGGCAUCCGCCACAGCACAUGUGGUGCAUGUCUACCAGGUGCUGCUGAAACGGUCGCCGUGAAGGUUUUAUUGUUCCUGCCUGUCCCGCUCUGGCCCUCCACCUCCCCAGCGGUGAGAGGAUGGGGGAAUGUAGGGGUUAGGGGCAGCUGGGAGGUGGGAGGUGGGAGGCGUUAUGGAACGUGGGUUCAGAGGGCAUGGGACGGGACGGGGCGGAAGCCGGAGGCGGAGGUGGUGGGAGUUGAAAGCGAUGAACGAGCGAUGGGGGGAAAGCGACGCGAGUGAGGUGGGCACACGUGUGAAGUGAUCGGCAUCUAUUUUGUUUCUCUAGCCCUCAAUUUUUUGUCAUUCCUUGUCUGUGAGCGUGUGUGGUGUGUGUGUGUGUGUGUGUGCACAUCUGUGUGCUUAAGUGAGUUCAGGAGCAGUGGGCGGUCGCCGGAAGACCAGAUGUGCGGAGGGCGAGCAUGGGGAACGUGGGGUCAUAGGGGGAAUGUGGGCAGGGGGCGCGCCCGCCCUGUGUGGCCGGUCAGUGCGCGUGCAUUUCUUUCCGUGAUGUGAUGUGACCUAGGAAGGUAGCAAGCAGGCAGUCAAGAGCAGCAGCAAGAGCAGCUAGCAGGGGGCCGUGCAGGCAUGCACCCAGGCAUCUCAUCAGCAUCCCAGAGUGUGUCGGUGCAUACGUGUGCGUGUGCGUGUUAGAGGGAGGGGCUGGAUGCGGCAUAUCGCAUCGCAUUAUUGCGUGUGCAUGUGGUUACAUGGGCUGGAACGACAUUACCGAGUCGCAGGUGCGGGUAUUGUGGAGUUGUCCUUCGUGCGAAUGUGUUUGUUUGUGUUUGUGUUUAUGCUUAUGUGUGUGUUCGUGCUUGUAUUCGUGCGUAUGUAUGUGUUUCACUUCGGCCUUCACGUAGUGUGGACUGCGGGUUUGUCUACACAGAUCCAUCACGCGGGAGUUCGGGAAAAGCACACCCCGGGGCGUUGAGACUUUGUCUUAAGCACGCUGACACACACCACAAGAGCAUCCCGCCAUGCACUCACCACGCACAACACCAUACCGUCUGUUACCAUGCCCGUUGAGCUGUCGUGCACCAGGUUAUGAUAGGUAUAUAAUUGCAAGCUACGUGCACCAGGGCCUGCCUUGCAGCACACACUGAUAGAGCUGUCCUCGCGCGAAUUACUCUUUUGAAUCCGAACCUCGUGGACAGAGAGCGCACCCUUACCAGGAUCACAGUAGGCCAGGACCAGGCCAUUUGGGUUUUGGCAAGUAUGGGGUUUUGACAGCUGCCAGCUGCCAGAGCUAGGGCAUAUGGGUUUACGAUUUCCCAGCACGGCGUAACUCUUAUGGCUCCCAGGAGCUGGUGGGUUAGGUUGAGGAGGAGAAUGGCAAGCAGCGGGUUCGAUGCGCCUGGACUGUUCAACGCUCUGGACUCGGUACGGCUGUCCGGUCUGUUUUGUGUUGCGUCGGCAUUAAUGCUGCGCCUCGCUGUCAUGUUAGGUCUAGCAGUACCGGUACCCGCCAUCAGCUCCUUGUGGAGUAAUGGAGGGCGCGCUGCUGUCCGUCGUCUUCGCAGGGUGCGUGUUAGGGUGUGUUGUGUGCGUGUAUGUGAACGAGCGAGCGAGCGAGAGAACAGUGCGCUCUUACGGCCCGGUGCACGCACAUAUGUUGUGCAUACGUGUGGCGCUAAUAUGGUAGAGUAGGGGAAACGCUGGUCGGUCAAUCGGGGGGACCUGAGUUGCCUUGCUGCGGGUAGGUACUAUCCGAGACACCAUCUGCGUGUGUCCGCUGUGUAUUGUCCAUCUUUCCCUCACACCGGGCUAACCCGGUGUGUUAAUAAAAAGAGCCUUGGUGAGUUCUGUCACGACAUGUUUAGUCGAUGCUACAGUCCCUAUGAUGCGACAGUCCCUUCCCCCCCCGAGUGCUGGACCAUGCAUGUCCACAUGAACCGCAAGAGCAGCGUGGAAUCCAACCAACAUUUGGCGACGCGCUCUAAACUCAUCCUUGCUCAAAUCUGACCGCCUUUGGCGGAGUAAGCUUACAGAGCGGACACCUGACACCUGAGGUGGUGGCUGAGGAAAGUGUCUUGCUCCGUGGAGGAGGACUACACACCCCUCACGCACGGGCGGCUCCUGGAAGGUGUGACAUACAAACUUUUUGAGUCAAGCAUUCCAGCUCAGCAAGCUGCGUGAUAUUUGCACUCACAUCUUAUUGUCCUCUUAUUCCUAAAUCGCCUCUUAAUUGCUUUUUGCUAACGUGUGCACCGUAUAUACACAUAUCUGGUCUGGGUUGACACUACUGCGAUUCGCGGUUUAAGGUCCUGGGUUCGAUUCCUGGGGAGACCCCCGAAUUAGUCGGGAGCGCGAGAUUAUGGCUAGCUGCUGAGAUGUGGAGUUGAGGUCGCAGUUGAUGGACCAGAUUCGCACGCUGGAUUGGUGGCGAUUGCCGAACCCUCCGUCUCUUCGGUUGUUCGGGUGAAUGGAUGAGGAGGGGUCCUAGACGGCUGGACCCGCCGCCUUGGACUUACAGUUCGUAUGGCGAAGUAUAGUGUGGUAGUGGUGGAUGGUGCUAUAAGAUGAUAAAUCGUAGAACUGACAAAGUGAUAAAGUGGCCCAGAAGCCUCCCACUCUGUAACAUUACAUUACAUAUACACAUACACACAUAUAACGUGUGCACCGACAUGUGCAAUAUGGUAAUGUCGGCCUUCUAUAACAUUCACGCAUUCUUGAUUGUCUUUCUUCACAAGACUGCUUGUGAAGUCUUCAGAGUUGUUGUUGUUGUUGUUUCCGCACAG
RNAcentral lists this long non-coding RNA (33270 nucleotides) under Volvox carteri. RNAcentral's name for it is "long non-coding RNA (VCAR_LNC000794)". Lineage: Eukaryota; Viridiplantae; Chlorophyta; Chlorophyceae; Chlamydomonadales; Volvocaceae. The record is from RNAcentral.